Molecule: non-coding RNA, 23 nt
Filed under: Arabidopsis thaliana (thale cress)
Lineage: Eukaryota; Viridiplantae; Streptophyta; Magnoliopsida; Brassicales; Brassicaceae
Source: RNAcentral
GAUGGAAGCAGAUGUGACCGUUA